Molecule: ribosomal RNA, 254 nt
Filed under: uncultured bacterium
Lineage: Bacteria
Description: partial 16S ribosomal RNA
Rfam family: Bacterial small subunit ribosomal RNA
Source: RNAcentral
UACGUAGGCAGCGAGCGUUGUUCGGAGUUACUGGGCGUAAAGGGUGUGUAGGCGGUUGUUUAAGUUUGGUGUGAAAUCUCCCGGCUCAACUGGGAGGGUGCGCCGAAUACUGAAUGACUUGGAGUGCGGGAGAGGUGAGUGGAAUUCCAGGUGUAGCGGUGAAAUGCGUAGAUAUCUGGAGGAACACCGAUGGCGAAGGCAGCCUCCUGGGCCAGCACUGACGCUCAUGCACGAAAGCGUGGGGAGCAAACAGG